UACGUAGGGUGCGAGCGUUAAUCGGAAUUACUGGGCGUAAAGCGUGCGCAGGCGGUUAUGCAAGACAGGUGUGAAAUCCCCGGGCUUAACCUGGGAACUGCAUUUGUGACUGCAUCGCUGGAGUGCGGCAGAGGGGGAUGGAAUUCCGCGUGUAGCAGUGAAAUGCGUAGAUAUGCGGAGGAACACCGAUGGCGAAGGCAAUCCCCUGGGCCUGCACUGACGCUCAUGCACGAAAGCGUGGGGAGCAAACAGG
Molecule: ribosomal RNA, 253 nt
Filed under: uncultured bacterium
Lineage: Bacteria
Description: partial 16S ribosomal RNA
Rfam family: Bacterial small subunit ribosomal RNA
Source: RNAcentral